GAUGAACGCUGACAGAAUGCUUAACACAUGCAAGUCGAUGGGGAAGUGGUGCUUGCACCAUGGUAACCAUGGCGGACGGGUGAGUAACACGUAAGGAACUUACCUGCGGGACCGGGAUAACAGCAGGAAACUGCUGACAAGACCGGAUAAGGUCAUUAAGCUGCAUAGCUUAGUGAUGAAAGGAGACGCCUGCGGAGAGCCUUGCGUCCUAUUAGCUAGUUGGAGGGGUAACGGCCCACCAAGGCGAAGAUAGGUAGCCGGCCUGGGAGGGUGGACGGCCACAAGGGGACUGAGAUACGGCCCUUACUCCUACGGGAGGCAGCAGUGGGGAAUAUUGGACAAAGGGGGCAACCCUGAUCCAGCAAUUCUGUGUGCACGAAGACGGUUUUCGGAUUGUAAAGUGCUUUCAGCAGGGAAGAAGGAAGUGACGGUACCUGCAGAAGAAGCGACGGCUAAAUACGUG
This 463-nucleotide ribosomal RNA is filed under the name uncultured bacterium. RNAcentral's name for it is "partial 16S ribosomal RNA". It matches the Rfam family "Bacterial small subunit ribosomal RNA", at positions 28 to 507 of the family's 1533-position model. The record is from RNAcentral.